GAUGAACGCUGGCGGCGUGCCUAAUACAUGCAAGUCGGGCGAAUGGAUUAAGAGCUUGCUCUUAUGAAGUUAGCGGCGGACGGGUGAGUAACACGUGGGUAACCUGCCCAUAAGACUGGGAUAACUCCGGGAAACCGGGGCUAAUGCCGGAUAAUAUUUUGAACUGCAUGGUUCAAAAUUGAAAGGCGGCUUCGGCUGUCACUUAUGGAUGGACCCGCGUCGCAUUAGCUAGUUGGUGAGGUAACGGCUCACCAAGGCAACGAUGCGUAGCCGACCUGAGAGGGUGAUCGGCCACACUGGGACUGAGACACGGCCCAGACUCCUACGGGAGGCAGCAGUAGGGAAUCUUCCGCAAUGGACGAAAGUCUGACGGAGCAACGCCGCGUGAGUGAUGAAGGCUUUCGGGUCGUAAAACUCUGUUGUUAGGGAAGAACAAGUGCUAGUUGAAUAAGCUGGCACCUUGACGGUACCUAACCAGAAAGCCACGGCUAACUACGUGCCAGCAGCCGCCGUAA
Molecule: ribosomal RNA, 515 nt
Filed under: uncultured bacterium
Lineage: Bacteria
Description: partial 16S ribosomal RNA
Rfam family: Bacterial small subunit ribosomal RNA
Source: RNAcentral